Long non-coding RNA from Papaver somniferum (opium poppy), 1559 nucleotides. RefSeq lists it as uncharacterized. The record is from RefSeq and is a predicted model, not a curated record. Lineage: Eukaryota; Viridiplantae; Streptophyta; Magnoliopsida; Ranunculales; Papaveraceae. The transcript has 2 exons.
UUUUCUUUUCUUCUUUAUUCUUCUAUUAUGUUUUUUUAUUCUUCUUUCUUAUUCUUAUUCUUAUUCUCAUCCUGUUCUUCACCUCCGGUGAAUUUUUCCGAGUUUCUGAGGCUGUGAGGUCGAGAGAUUUAGGUAGGACAUCAAGGGAUGGUUUUUGGUGAUAUUACUGUAGUUGUUUGAACCCGAGAAGAAGAAGGUUGAUUUGUUGCAGUAAAUCAAGGUUAGGGUUUCCGUUUUUGAGAUGAAAAAAAUCAAGAGCAGUUGGUGAGUCAGAUGAGAACCCUGUUGUUAUAUGACGGUGGUGUUCGAUUGAGAGUCAUUUCAAUUCAGGAACUUGAGUAACAAUUUAAUUAGGGUUUCUGAAUCUGGUUUCAAGAUUCGAUUAAAGAUGAAUUAGAAGAUGAAUUUGAUGUUUUAGGAGGAUGAUUAGAGAUGGGUAUGGAUUAAUUGAGUAGUUGCAGUUGGAAUUAAGUUUUAAUUGGUGAAGUAGUGGAUCAAUGCUCUCAUGUUCUACCCCAAAUUAAAAGUUAGGGUUUCCGGGAAUUAAAGUUAAUGAUGAAGACUGUUGUGUGUAGUUAAUUUAGGAUUUCCGUGGAAGUGGUUAGUGAAUCAAAAAAUCGAAGGAUGCUGGUAUUUUGGUAAGUUCUUAAUUGAUGAAAUUUGAAUAUCAGUGUCGAACUGUUUUACAUAAUUGGGAUUUCUGAGAUUGAAAAAUUGUGCUAGUAGUAUUUGUGGUGAUAUGAACUUGAACUGAGAUUGAGUUAAAUGUAGAUAUGUGUGUUGAUUAAUGUUGAUGAAGUAUGUUUGCAAAAGGAAGUGUUUGAAGCUGAAAUUAUAGUGAAUAAGGAAGUGUUGGUGUUCAUAGUGCAGGUAUAGAGUUGGUGUUGUUAUGGUUGGGUAGGAAAGAAGUGGAGUGGUGUACAGAAUGGGUAUUACAAGUGGUGAUGGUGAUGCAGCUUGGCUGGUUGUAUUUGAUUGAGUCUAAUGAAUUAAAAUUGCACAGAUGUGGAGUUAGAAGUACUGUUGGUGGUGAGAUGGAGAUGUGGGUGAUGAUUCUGUAGUUGUUAGUAAGUUACAGGGAUUGGUUUGCUGUUGAAUGGAGUUACAGUCGUAACUAAUGAAGAUAAUAGGGGGAGCUGCAGUCAUGUUGAAAUGCAUAUGAAUUGAAUCUGAGGUUGAUAGUAUAUGGUGCAGGGUUUGAGCUUUAAGAACUGGAAGUUGUCAAGAAUGGUAUGUGUGUGUUUGAAUUGAUAAAAUGAAGAAAGGGUUGUUAAUGGGGAUUGUUAAUUAGGGUUGUAGGAUUAGUUAGUGCUUUCAGUGCAGGCUUGCCACUGCUAUUGCAGUUUCAGAGACAGAUCAGAGUUGCGCAGCGAAAGCUUCGAGACGUUGAGUCUGUUAGUUGAUUAACUUUUGCUAUGUUUAUUAUGUUGUAUAUUCUAUUGUAAACCAAAUGACUAUUUUAUAUGUAUCAUGUGAGAGGAGUUCCUGUAUAUAUUUUUCAGAACGGGGCUAGUUCUUGGGUUAAGUUUUUGUAGCAGAUUUCUUAAUUGUAUGUUUAA